UACGAAGGGGGCUAGCGUUGUUCGGAAUCACUGGGCGUAAAGCGCACGCAGGCGGAUUGAUAAGUCAGGGGUGAAAUCCCGGAGCUCAACUUCGGAAUUGCCUUUGAUACUGUCUGUCUUGAGUCCGGGAGAGGUGAGUGGAAUUCCUAGUGUAGAGGUGAAAUUCGUAGAUAUUAGGAGGAACACCGGUGGCGAAGGCGGCCCACUGGUCCGGUACUGACGCUGAGGUGCGAAAGCGUGGGGAGCAAACAGG
RNAcentral lists this ribosomal RNA (253 nucleotides) under uncultured bacterium. RNAcentral's name for it is "partial 16S ribosomal RNA". It matches the Rfam family "Bacterial small subunit ribosomal RNA", at positions 524 to 776 of the family's 1533-position model. The record is from RNAcentral.